Molecule: ribosomal RNA, 492 nt
Filed under: uncultured bacterium
Lineage: Bacteria
Description: partial 16S ribosomal RNA
Rfam family: Bacterial small subunit ribosomal RNA
Source: RNAcentral
AGUGAACGCUGGCGGUAGGCCUAACACAUGCAAGUCGAACGGCAGCACAGUAAGAGCUUGCUCUUACGGGUGGCGAGUGGCGGACGGGUGAGGAAUACAUCGGAAUCUACUUUUUCGUGGGGGAUAACGUAGGGAAACUUACGCUAAUACCGCAUACGACCUACGGGUGAAAGCAGGGGAUCUUCGGACCUUGCGCGAUUGAAUGAGCCGAUGUCGGAUUAGCUAGUUGGCGGGGUAAAGGCCCACCAAGGCGACGAUCCGUAGCUGGUCUGAGAGGAUGAUCAGGCCAACUGGGACUUGGGCACGGUCCAGACUCCUACGGGAGGCAGCAGUGGGGAAUAUUGGACAAUGGGCGCAAGCCUGAUCCAGCCAUACCGCGUGGGUGAAGAAGGCCUUCGGGUUGUAAAGCCCUUUUGUUGGGAAAGAAAAGCAGCAGGUUAAUACCCCGCUGUUCUGACGGUACCCAAAGAAUAAGCACCGGCUAACUUCGUG